GAAAAAGAAAAAGAAACCCAAACAAAGGAGAAACCAGCUGCCAAGAGGGAUGGAGCUGUGGGAUGAGAACGGAGCAGGCUCCAGAGCUGCCAGGAAUGCUCCCUUUGGGCUGGAAUGGCAGAAUCCAGAGCCUGAGGGAACGCCCUCAGGGAGCAGAGCUCUGGAUGUGCCAAAAGAUGCUAAAAUAACAACUGGGAGUCAUAUCCUGGAUGAGCAAAACUCCUUCCCAGAGCCAGCCCCGGGACAGCAGCCCCCAAAAUCCGCUCUGCUGGGUGCCAGAGCCCGGGAGGAAGCGAAAGCAGAGGGAAGGAGAGGUGACAGCUGGAUGCUGGAAUGUAAAGGCAAGAGCAGAGAGGUUCCCUCGGAGCAGGGGGGCAAGACUGAGGUGGAGGAAUCUGCUCCAGCUUCGGGAGCCAGCGGGCCCACGGAGAGAGAUUUCCCCGGUAAAAGGGAGAGGAGGGAGCACAAGGAGUCAAGAGGCACCGACCUGAUGGUCCAUGAGAGCAAAGCAGGAACUCCCUUACAGACCAAACCAAAGGAAUUGCCCCUUUCCCAUAAAAAUAAAGAGCCUAAAACCUCAUCUCCAGGGCAGGAAGCACCCGGUGGCUCUGUGCAUCAGCUUUCCCUGGAAACAGCAGCUGAGAAAAACAGGGAAAAAAGCAACGGGGUUGAAAAGGAACCCCUCAAACAGCCUCACCUGGAGGACAAGCUCCCUGCAGAGCCAAAGGCAGCUGGAGAAAGUGAAACAGGGUCAGAGGGAGGGCUGCAGACCCCAAGAGAUGCUCCUGGAGCUCCUGUUCCAGCUUCACUUCCACCAAAGCUUGGGGAGGUUCCAGCUGUGCAGGGCAGAAGGGCCGAGGGUGUCCCCGGUGCUCCCAAACAUCCCUCCCCUGCUGGGGCAGGGGGCUGGGGUGGGGCAGAUUCCCCAGAUCCAAACCCAGGGAAGGGAUCCCCUGCUCCAGAGCAGAGGGCUGGGAAAGAUCCCAGCUCCACACACGGGAUGGAGAGGCCUAAAAAAAAGCGCAGCGAAGGGAAAGGCAAAAGAAUCAAAAGCUGCUCGGAGCAGAUGGUGCUGGCAGAGGAUGGAGGCAAAUUCACUGAGGGAAGGAGGACAGGGGAGGAUGGGAAGGAAGCAGUUUAUCCUGAAAAUGGUCAGGGGGUUCCUGCCAGAGGACACCCAUCAGCCAGCACUACAGACAAGCCCAAAAAAAGAGGCAGCGAUGGAAGGAGCAAAAAAGGGGAAAGGAGCUUUUUCCAGCAGCCUUUCCUUGAGAGUAAAAUGGAUGCAGGGAGUUUUCCUGAGGUAGCUGGUAAGGUGAGGGAGGGCAGUGAGGAGGGCAGAGCAGGGGGCUGUGUCCCUGCUGGGGGCUUGCAAGAAAACGCAGCUAAAACACAAAGAUCAAUUGAGCUGGGACCGGAGAAACCGAAAGAAAAUGUUGGGAAACAUGAAACAGCUGAUCUGAGAGCUUUAGACCAAGCUUUGCUACUGGAGAAGAGCAAAGAGGAAGCCAAAAUUCCUGCUCUGGCUGCCACCACGAGCCUGACUAAAGAGGUGGAUUUGGUUGGGAAAGGCAGAGAGGCCGGAGGUGGCGCAGGGCUGGCAGAGAAAGGCAGGAAAAGGAGCAGUGAUGGGAGGAGGAAAGAGGCUGAGCACAGCCCCUGGGGACAGGCAGCUGUCCCGGGUGCUGGGGGGGACAGCAGCCAGCAGCAGGAGCCUGGGAACAGGAAGGAAACAAGCCUGGAUAAGGAGAAGGGAUCUGGUUUGCACAGAGAGAGGUUGGCGGAGGAGCUGGGGAAGCCCAAAAUCCAGGGUGGCACUGGCAGCUUCUCUGAGCUGCCAAAUCUUUCAGGCCAGAAAACUGAGAUUUCAGAGGCAGAAAUUGGCAGUGCUAAGGAAAGUUGGCCCAUGAAUAGAGGGAAGGAAGCAGAGAAAUCCCAGCCUCUCCCAGAGCACAGGGCAGGGAUGCACAGUCCCAGCAGGGAACUGGGGAUGGACAAGGCCAGGAGUAAAAGCAGAGAUGGGAAAGGCAAAAAGGCUGAGCACACACCUGAGCUGCAGCCAGGCAAUGUCCCUGCAGUGGGACACAGCCAGCAAACUCAGGCUGAGAAAGGCAAAGAGAAUUCCAGGACUCCAGCAGCUCACCUGCCUGAUCCUGCCAAGGUAGAGGCUCCUGCUGUGCCCCUGGAGCCAGGGAAAUCACACCCAGGUGAUGAGGAGAAACACAGAAAGGGGGAGCCUGACCCACAGCAGCCUUUUCUGCUGGAGAAUAAAGCAGGAGCAGGGAUCUUCCCUCCUCCUGGCCUGGAGAUCAGGGACAAAGCUGAGGCAGGAGGUGCCAGUCCUCGCAGCAGGAAUAAAAAUUCUGUCCCAGUGUCAGAUCCCAGCCUGGCCCCAGUCACUGAGAGAUCUAAAAAGAGGGGUUAUGAUGGAAGCAGUAAAAAAGCUAAAAAUGCUUCCAGGCAUGUUCCUCUAGAGGCAAAUCCAGAGAGGAGUGAAGCACAGCCUCCCCUGGGAUCUGGGCUGGGAUGUGGGAUGGAAGACACAGAUUUUGUAGAUGAAAACAGAAACAUUAAAAACUUUCCCGCUGGCCCUCAAAGACUUGGGAAUAAUAAAAGAAGUGACUUGAAAUCCGUGGCUCAGAGCACAGCAAGUGGUGCCGGGGGUGAUGCUCCCUGUGACCUCCCAAAGCAGAGGGAAGGGACUGCAGGGACUGGGGGCCUUCCUCCUCCUCCUCCUCUUCCUCUGGAA
Molecule: long non-coding RNA, 2749 nt
Organism: Cyanistes caeruleus (blue tit)
Lineage: Eukaryota; Metazoa; Chordata; Aves; Passeriformes; Paridae
Source: Ensembl